GUCUAGCCAUAAACCAUAAUACUAUCCUACCAAGUAUUCGCCAGAGAAUUACAAGCAACAUGCUUGAAACUCAAAGGACUUGGCGGUGUCCCACAUUCCCCUAGAGGAGCCUGUCCUAUAAUCGAUAACCCGCGCUAAACCCUACCAUCUAAGGCCAACCCAGCCUAUAUACCGCCGUCGUCAGCCCACCCUAUUGAGGGCCCAAAAGUGGACAAAAUUGCCAAUACACAAAAACGUCAGGUCAAGGUGUAGCUAAUAAGAUGGCAGAGAUGGGCUACAUUUUCUAGCAUAGAAAAUCACGGAAAAUACAAUGAAACAUGUAUUUAAAGGCGGAUUUAGUAGUAAAGAAAGACUAAAAGAAUACUCUCUUUAACCAGACACUGGGACGCGC
RNAcentral lists this ribosomal RNA (391 nucleotides) under Gerrhosaurus flavigularis. RNAcentral describes it as "12S ribosomal RNA". It matches the Rfam family "Bacterial small subunit ribosomal RNA", at positions 794 to 1384 of the family's 1533-position model. Lineage: Eukaryota; Metazoa; Chordata; Lepidosauria; Squamata; Gerrhosauridae. The record is from RNAcentral.